GGUGGGGGAAGGGGAGGGAGAGCAUUAGGACAAACACCUAAGGCAUGUGGGGCUUAAAACCUAGAUGACAGGUUGGUAUGUGCAGCAAACCUUCAUGGCACAUGUAACAAACCUGCACGUUCAGCACAUGUAUCCCAGAACUUAAAGUAAAAUAAAUAAAUAAAUAAAUAAGUGACCACAGGACCUAAGUGGGUCAAGGUCAGAGGAGUGAUGGGGGAUGGAAGCAGAGGUCAAGGUCAGAGGAGUGAUGGGGGAUGGAAGCAGAGGUCAAGGUCAGAGGAGUGAUGGGGGAUGGAAGCAGAGGUCAAGGUCGGAGGAGUGAUGGGGAUGAAAGCAGAGGUCAAGGUCGGAGGAGUGAUGGGGGAUGGAAGCAGAGGUCAAGGUCAGAGGAGUGAUGGGGGAUGGAAGCAGAGGUCAAGGUCGGAGGAGUGAUGGGGAUGAAAGCAGAGGUCAAGGUCGGAGGAGUGAUGGGGAUGGAAGCAGAGGUCAAGGUCAGAGGAGUGAUGGGGGAUGGAAGCAGAGGUCAAGGUCGGAGGAGUGAUGGGGAUGGAAGCAGAGGUCAAGGUCGGAGGAGUGAUGGGGGAUGGAAGCAGAGGUCGGAGUGCAGCACUCUGAGGACGGAGGAAGGGCCAUGAGCCGAGGAAUGCGGGCAGCCUCUAGGAGCUGGAAAAGGCCGGAAACGGAUUCUCUCCUAGAGCCUUGAGAAGGGACGUGGCUCUGCAGAUGACACCUUGAUUUUGGAGACUUGAGAAGGGACGUGGCCCUGCAGACACCUCGAUUUUGGGCCAUGAGACCAAACCAUUUUGGACUUCUGACCUCCAGAACUGUAACAGACUUGUGUGAUUUCUAAGCCGCUGCGUUUGUGAUUUGUAAGCCGCUGCGUUUGUGAUUUGUUACAACCCACUUUUGGGAACAAUGACCCGGAAGGAGGGCGAGGAUAGAGAAGCCAGAGCCAGCACAGAGGUGCCAGGAGGCAGGAGCAGAGGAGGGGCGAGCUGUAUCCCAGACAAUAAGAGGGGGGAGUGUCUGGGGGCUGGUCGGGCCGCAUGAGAAGGGAGACGGAUGAGGCCACUGGCAGCCUUGACGGGAGCUGCUCCCUCUGGAAGGAAGGAAGGCCGCCCGGCUGCCAUGGACUGAAGGCUUUGCUCGCUUUGCCUCACCGAGAUGCCCCCUCUCUGCUGCUACAUCUCAGCACCCAGCAGGCACUCGGUACGCACUUAUGAGGAACACGCGACUGCUCUGACUCUUCACCCUCCUGCCACUGGGGACUCAGGCCUGGCCGCAAACACCCCCUCACUCAGGGCCCCUGUGCCGCUCGAGGUGGCUCAGGGCCUUUGCACUGGCUGCUCUCGUGGCCUGGACCACUCUUCUCAGAGGUCUCUGCGUGGCUGCCCACCGCUCAUCACCCAGGCCCCACACAGCAGCCACCAGCCAUGGGAGAGUGCCACUACUGAAAGGAUGGUAUUUUGAACACAUUGGGGUCCAUGAAGUAAAUUUGCCUUUUUUUAA
RNAcentral lists this long non-coding RNA (1509 nucleotides) under Homo sapiens (human). RNAcentral's name for it is "HSALNT0398796". Lineage: Eukaryota; Metazoa; Chordata; Mammalia; Primates; Hominidae. The record is from RNAcentral.